Molecule: ribosomal RNA, 915 nt
Filed under: uncultured bacterium
Lineage: Bacteria
Description: bacterial SSU rRNA
Rfam family: Bacterial small subunit ribosomal RNA
Source: RNAcentral
UAGAGUUUGAUCAUGGCUCAGGAUGAACGCUAGCGACAGGCUUAACACAUGCAAGUCGAGGGGCAGCGGGGAGGUAGCAAUACUUCCGCCGGCGACCGGCGCACGGGUGAGUAACACGUAUGGAACCUGCCCGUAGCAGGGGGAUAAACGGAAGAAAUUCCGUCUAAUACCGCGUAAUAACUCCGAGAGGCAUCUCAUGGAGUUUAAAGGGUAACACCGGCUACGGAUGGCCAUGCGGCGCAUUAGCUAGUUGGCGGGGUAACGGCCCACCAAGGCGACGAUGCGUAGGGGUUCUGAGAGGAAGGUCCCCCACACUGGUACUGAGACACGGACCAGAUUCCUACGGGAGGCAGCAGUGAGGAAUAUUGGUCAAUGGGCGCGAGCCUGAACCAGCCAAGUCGCGUGAGGGAAGACGGUCCUAUGGAUUGUAAACCUCUUUAGGCGGGGAGCAAUGCCGGGCACGCGUGCCCGGAGGGAGAGUACCCGCAGAAUAAGCAUCGGCUAACUCCGUGCCAGCAGCCGCGGUAAUACGGAGGAUGCGAGCGUUAUCCGGAUUUAUUGGGUUUAAAGGGUGCGUAGGCGGAUUUUUAAGUCAGCGGUAAAAUGUCCGGGCUCAACCCGGGCCGGCCGUUGAAACUGGGGAUCUUGAGUGGGCGAGAAGUAUGCGGAAUGCGUGGUGUAGCGGUGAAAUGCAUAGAUAUCACGCAGAACUCCGAUUGCGAAGGCAGCAUACCGGCGCCCGACUGACGCUGAGGCACGAAAGCGUGGGGAUCGAACAGGAUUAGAUACCCUGGUAGUCCACGCAGUAAACGAUGAAUGCUAGUUGUCCGGUUCUUUGGGACUGGGUGACACAGCGAAAGCGUUAAGCAUUCCACCUGGGGAGUACGCCGGCAACGGUGAAACUCAAAGGAAUUG